RNAcentral lists this long non-coding RNA (461 nucleotides) under Monodelphis domestica (gray short-tailed opossum). RNAcentral describes it as "lncRNA (ENSMODG00000046908.1)". Lineage: Eukaryota; Metazoa; Chordata; Mammalia; Didelphimorphia; Didelphidae. The record is from RNAcentral.
CUGGGUCAGGAUUCUAAGGCAGUUGGGGAACUAGCAACUGGCACUCUCAAUCUGGGAUGCAGACAACGAGGCUGUGUGGAAGUAUCUCCAUGAAGGAAACCAACUUUGGAGCUGUGGGAGACCUGGAUCAUCUUUAAGGAGAGGUUGAGUGAGUGUUCCCUUUCACAUCGGAGGACAGUCAAAGAAAAAUAAAAGAAAACGAUCAUUCAAGACCCAGAAGAAGAAAACAGAAUUCAGCAACUCUAUAGAUGAGGAAAUUGAGGCUACAAAAAAAGUAGAAGACAUUCAAGGGCCACUCACAGAGGACUACAUAAACAAAGGGUGUUCCCAAUAACGUGUUCUCAAUGGAGAAUUUUCAUUCACAAACUCUCUUCCUGACAACUCUCCCUGCCCCAUUCACUGCAAAGCAAAGAUAGAUGCCUGGGAAUAAAAACACCAAAGACUACUAGGUUGUUGGUUUU